UACGAAGGGGGCUAGCGUUGCUCGGAAUCACUGGGCGUAAAGCGCACGUAGGCGGACUCUUAAGUCGGUGGUGAAAUCCUGGAGCUCAACUCCAGAACUGCCUUCGAUACUGAGAGUCUCGAGUCCGGGAGAGGUGAGUGGAACUGCGAGUGUAGAGGUGAAAUUCGUAGAUAUUCGCAAGAACACCAGUGGCGAAGGCGGCUCACUGGCCCGGUACUGACGCUGAGGUGCGAAAGCUAGGGGAGCGAACGGG
Molecule: ribosomal RNA, 253 nt
Filed under: uncultured bacterium
Lineage: Bacteria
Description: partial 16S ribosomal RNA
Rfam family: Bacterial small subunit ribosomal RNA
Source: RNAcentral